Molecule: RNA transcript, 1819 nt
Organism: Chelonia mydas (Green sea turtle)
Lineage: Eukaryota; Metazoa; Chordata; Testudines; Cheloniidae
Exons: 5
Source: RefSeq, a predicted model, not a curated record
AUUUCCCUACCAGCUCUAGUUCUGGGCUGAUUCGCAGAGGUUCGGAGCACUCACACUGGGGGUGUGCAGCCCACAUGUAAACCAGGUCCAGGCUUGCCUUUCAUCCUGUGAGCGCAUCUUCCCACCUAUUGGAAGUGGGAGAGAGAGAAUUAGAUCAUCCACUCCCGACAGAGCUGCGAGAAGACGAAGACAAGACACUGUUCCCAUAGGGAUGGGCAUUUAACUAGGUAGGGGGAGGAAAAUCCCAGCGAGCUGAGCCGAGCCCUCGCGCGUGGGAGCGCCUCAGCCCAGGCCAGCAGCGAAAAGGAGACGCACGCUGAUGUUCCGGCUUCCUUCGCAAAGCCAGAGAGCGCCGCAGGGCGCAGCUCUGCCGGAGUUAGAGACAGGCAGAGCCAGCCCUUCCUUCAGCGGGGAGGGGCACCGCCACAGACCCCAGGAACCAGCUGGGCACGUACCUCCGCGCCACCCGGGAAACUUUCUUCUCCGGAGAGCACUGCGGAGCUGGAAAGUUUCCCAUCCCCGUCCGAGCCCUGUAACAGGGAUUAUCCAAGGCAGAAGAACUUCCUCCUUUUAGUCGAGAACCCAAAUGGGAUUACAUCCAUGUUCUUCUAGAACUGCAUAUAUGCACGAGACAGUCCCAGCACUGAAGGCUGCAAUUGUAGUCACUGUUCACAAGUAUUACCAGCUUGCUUGGACGAAUAAUUGUCAGACAAUGUCUGGUUUGUGAUCUAUUCAUAAACUAUUCACUGCUGCCUGAUCAUCUCCCAUGAUGCACCACAGUUUGGUGUGGAGAGUCGUGGGGUGGAGAGGCAGUGCAGUGUGGGAGUAACAUGCCCAUGAUGCAUCAGAGGAGAUGAAGUCGGGCUGAGGAGUCAGGCACACAGAGGAGAAUGGAGACUAAGACAGCAAAAUCCUGGCUAAGCUCACCAAGAGUGUGCCAGAGUAAUGGAAAGGUGGAGCAGAACAAUAGCAAUCAAGACUCUGGCACAGAGGAGGUUGCCUCAGAGGUGUGUGGGAUCACUAUGCUCUGCAGCACUAUCUUAUCUCCUCCUCCUCUCCAGCACUUGCUAUCCACCAUAGCAUGUGCCCAGAAAGCUUGGCCUCAAGCCAUCCACUCCCACCCCCGUGAAGCUAUGGGAUGGUGUGGAGGCAUAUCAGCCAGCACUCUUCUAAAACUCAAGAGUGUAUCCUCCUUCGUUCCUGAACAGAUGCAGAGGGACAAAGAGGCUCCCUAGACACCCCCCGCACCCCCAGUGCAGUCAUGCAAUGCAUUACAUGGAUUUUACACACUAGCAAGAGUCAUACAUGAUACAGUGACACUCUAAAGAGGGAUUACACAUGCAUACUGCAGGACAAGCGUGCACAAUUUUCUGUAUUGGGUAGGGCCUACAAGACAGGGGAGGGAGGCUGCAUUUCUGACAUGAAUGCUAAAAGUUAAGAGCAACAAGAAAAAGCAUGCCCAAUAUGCCAGUUUUACAGCUUAGUCAUUUUAGUACACUCGCUUUCAUUUGAUCAUCAUUUGAUGAUGAUCUAGGGAAGCAAAUGCAAUAAAUCCAAAUUAAAUCCACAAAACCAUCUGUUUUCUUAUCUCAGUGAAGUCAAUGUAUAUGUUCCAAUUAUUUCUCUCAGUAAAGCCAAGAAAGUCUGGAAAAUAGACUGAGCCCUUGAUCAUCUUACACAUCGCUUUCUAGGCAGCAGCCUGGCCUGGGGGAUGCAUGUGCUCUGCUCUGCCCUGCCAGCCGGACCCAGACACAGCUUAUUUCCCAUUAAUGUAUUUUGCCUUUGUUUCUUGGCUCCCAGAUUUGAAAGGCACCGUGGA